RNAcentral lists this ribosomal RNA (253 nucleotides) under uncultured bacterium. RNAcentral's name for it is "partial 16S ribosomal RNA". It matches the Rfam family "Bacterial small subunit ribosomal RNA", at positions 524 to 776 of the family's 1533-position model. The record is from RNAcentral.
UACAUGUGGGGCAAGCGUUGUUCGGAAUUACUGGGCAUAAAGGGCGCGUAGGCGGCCUUCUAAGUCGAACGUGAAAUCCCCGGGCUCAACCCGGGAACUGCGUCCGAUACUGGAAGGCUUGAAUCCGGGAGAGGGAUGCGGAAUUCCAGGUGUAGCGGUGAAAUGCGUAGAUAUCUGGAGGAACACCGGUGGCGAAGGCGGCAUCCUGGACCGGCAUUGACGCUGAGGCGCGAAAGCCAGGGGAGCAAACGGG